GCGGAUAUGGCGGAAUUGGCAGACGCGCCAGAUUUAGGUUCUGGUGUCAAUAGACGUGCAGGUUCAAGUCCUGUUAUCCGCA
Molecule: transfer RNA, 82 nt
Filed under: Lachnospiraceae bacterium
Lineage: Bacteria; Bacillati; Bacillota; Clostridia; Lachnospirales; Lachnospiraceae
Also listed under: 2 other names
Description: tRNA-Leu
Rfam family: tRNA
About the family: Transfer RNA (tRNA) molecules are approximately 80 nucleotides in length. Their secondary structure includes four short double-helical elements and three loops (D, anti-codon, and T loops). Further hydrogen bonds mediate the characteristic L-shaped molecular structure. tRNAs have two regions of fundamental functional importance: the anti-codon, which is responsible for specific mRNA codon recognition, and the 3' end, to which the tRNAs corresponding amino acid is attached (by aminoacyl-tRNA synthetases). tRNAs cope with the degeneracy of the genetic code in two manners: having more than one tRNA (with a specific anti-codon) for a particular amino acid; and 'wobble' base-pairing, i.e. permitting non-standard base-pairing at the 3rd anti-codon position.
Source: RNAcentral